Long non-coding RNA from Oreochromis niloticus (Nile tilapia), 2081 nucleotides. RefSeq lists it as uncharacterized. The record is from RefSeq and is a predicted model, not a curated record. The transcript is spliced from 4 exons. NCBI's taxonomy places the organism in Eukaryota, Metazoa, Chordata, Actinopteri, Cichliformes, Cichlidae.
AGCGGAUGUGUGGUGUGGCUACAGUGCCAACAUUGUUCUCUUACAAUAGAAAACCAAAAUGAGGAACUCGUAGAGUACAUUCCCCUCUCCGACCACCUUUGGACUAAAUGUUUGAUCAUCUUCUUGACAAUAUUUGAUUUCUAAAAAUCUAUCCGGGAAUAAUGUUUUCUUAUUUUAUUUUUCUGGUCGCCUCCUCAGUUACUUUUCUGUGCACCCACCAAGUGUCCAGUCAAGAUUCUAGCUGCACAGAGUAUCCUGUGUUCACUCCAUCUGCACUGGUAGUGAAGUACGGUGACCCAGCCAAUGUUACAUGUGAUGUAUGUCAGAAGGACUGCAGUGGAGAUGUUUUUGGUUUGGAGCACGCUGUGGGAAAAAGUACACCAAAUGGAACCACGAUGUUGUGGACGGUCGACAGACUGACUGAAUGGGACAUAUUUGUCAUGUGCUAUUAUAACGCUGAUGCUGGUGAUCAGUGUUCUAGCACCCUGGAUCUAACUCUUUAUCAGCCUCCAGAAAGUGUCUCCAUCAGCUUUGUAAACCACACUGGGAUGAUGUUUGAGAAUCAGCAGUACACCCUGCAGUGUAGCGUACAGAACGUAGCUCCUGUUCAAAGCCUCACUGUGACCUUCUACAGAGGAAACACAGCACUGGCUCACCUACAGUCCAAGAAUGACAUGAAGAAACCAGUGAAUGAGUCCUUCACUCUGAACAUCAAUUCCAGUAGAGAAUAUAAUGGAGCCCAGUAUUGGUGUGAAGCCAAGCUGAAGCUGGGACCAGCUGGACCACAGCGCCCUCCAGUGGUGACAUCAGAAAAACUCCGUGCUACAGUCUAUUUUGAACCAACCACAACCAGAAAGCCAGAACCUACAACCAUUAAAUCAACAACAAGGUCAACCACAAGAGCCACAACACCCCAAACUACAAAGUCAACAACUACAAUCACCAAAUCAACUACAAGCUCAGCCACAACGACAACAGCGACCACGACAGCACUAAUUGCACAAACAAACACUACACCAAACAGCAGCUCCAACAGAAUAUUAACUCACAGCUUCAUGUGUUUAAUGCUUCUGCUCUCUGCUGUCAUCUGAUUUCAUAUCAAACAAUUGCAUGAGCCUUUUAUAACAAUGAAUGUAACUUGAUCAUAGCAAAUACUUCAUUCAUUUUCUGUAUAGUUUCUUAGCUUUAAAGGCAGUGAGUGAACAGUAUUUAAAUGACUUGUUUUUCUAUAUAUGCACACACAUAACGAACUAAGGUGACUAGUUAGAGUUGCUUUCUUUUAUUUAGAUCAUUAGAGUCGUUUACAGCUGUGCUAGAAACACCAACAAGCUGAUGUUUCUCAGGAGUUCAGUGGUUCCAUUUGUAGUGUCGCUCUGCAGUGUCGACCUCAUUUUAAUUCAUUAGAAAUUAAACACCUUCAUUUGUCUAUAAAUAAGAACACGCCCAUUCUGACAGUGUUCACAUUUAUAAUCUAUUUGUUUUACAAACAAAUGAGGAGCAGCAGAAAUAUAAGUUCCAUCUCAUAAUUUUGUCUUUAUUUUUCCCUUUGUGCACAUUCGCUCAGUCUACUUUAAUCUCUGUCGUGAUCACAGGAGGAAAACUAAUAUUUCACUCUAAGAACAUAGUACAUUUAGAUAUUUAAUCAUAAAUAACACUGCAGGGAAAUGUUUUCAUUUGAGCUGACGAUGGUCCUUGAUGAGGUCACAGCAUUACCAAAGUUGCAACAAAUCAUUUCUGGCAGAGAAAAGUCGCGAUCAGUCUGUGGAUUAAUCCUGUGAGGAUCAUGAAUACCAAAUUGAUAACCUAACUGUCCAACAUUGGAACCAUAUACCACAGUGCUGAUUUGUAUAUAAAUGCACAUCAUACAUUUUUUUGCAUUAAUGCUUUAUUCACUGACAGCCACUAUAACAGAUCUUCCUGUAGUUACAAUAACACCAGUCUUAGCUUCCUUCUAUAUAAUGAAUCGUAUGAUCUGAGAAUGGCUUUAAUCGCAGAAUUCUGUUUUAUGUGUGUAUAUUGAUUUUUCUAUGUAUGUACACCAAAUAUAAACCAAAAUAAAGUUGUUGAUUUUUUAAUGUAAA